Malus domestica (apple) is the source of this 241-nucleotide non-coding RNA. The record is from RefSeq and is a predicted model, not a curated record. NCBI's taxonomy places the organism in Eukaryota, Viridiplantae, Streptophyta, Magnoliopsida, Rosales, Rosaceae.
UUUAUCUCUUUCCAAUUUUUAUUUAAUUAAACGCGCACCACUUAUUUAAAACCCUACUUUCUCCUUUUAUUUUGUUCUCUAUAAUUGAGGGUUUUCUGAGGAGUUUCCAUGGCAAAAAACGCGUUCAAGAUGGAGCACCCUCUCGAAAAGAGACAAGCCGAAGCUGCUCGCAUAAGAGAGAAGUAUCCAGACAGAAUACCAGUGGUUGUGGAAAGGGCUGAAAAGAGUGAUGUGCCUGAAA